This 27-nucleotide non-coding RNA is filed under the name Homo sapiens (human). The record is from RNAcentral. Lineage: Eukaryota; Metazoa; Chordata; Mammalia; Primates; Hominidae.
UGGUCAGCUCCUUCCUAACAACAGCCA